Molecule: long non-coding RNA, 324 nt
Organism: Bradysia coprophila
Lineage: Eukaryota; Metazoa; Arthropoda; Insecta; Diptera; Sciaridae
Source: RefSeq, a predicted model, not a curated record
CUUUUCACCACUCCUUCUGAACCAUUAGUGCCCUGAAUAAAAAUUUUACACUGACCAAAUUUCGAACCACCCACACCAAAACCCAAUGUUUAUCGAACAACACCUCUAACCAUUCGGCUGUUGAGAUAUAUAAUCGCAGUGAACCAAUUUUUGAAGCGUACAUAAAUGCAGUCUACUUGAUCGUUCAUACCAUAUUUCGUUGACACAGUAGAAUGUAUGUUAAAGGUAGAGUUAUGUUUUGCUUUUCAAAAGUUCAUUUUUCGCAGCUGGUUGCAGAAAACGUUGUAUGCAACAUGCUGCGAAAACUGGUAGUUUUUAUCACAU